UGCAGUCGUACGAGAACACCCUAGCUUGCUAGGGUAAGUAAAGUGGCGCACGGGUGAGUAACGCGUGGGUAAUCUACCUUCGAAUUGGGGAUAACGUUGCGAAAGCGACGCUAAUACCGAAUAAAAUCCAUUAAUCUUCGGGUUUUUGGAUCAAGGGUGGCCUCUACAUGUAAGCUACUGUUUGAAGAUGAGCCCGCGUACCAUUAGCUUGUUGGUGGGGUAAUGGCCUACCAAGGCAGCGAUGGUUAGCUGGUCUGAGAGGAUGAUCAGCCACACUGGAACUGACACACGGUCCAGACUCCUACGGGAGGCAGCAGUGAGGAAUUUUGCGCAAUGGGGGAAACCCUGACGCAGCAACGCCGCGUGAGUGAUGAAGGCUUUCGGGUCGUAAAGCUCUGUCAAGUGGGAAGAACCUGCAGUAUGCUAAUAUCAUAUUGCACUGACGGUACCACUGAAGGAAGCACCGGCUAACUCCGUGCCAGCAGCCGCGGUAAUACG
This 498-nucleotide ribosomal RNA is filed under the name uncultured bacterium. Its description in RNAcentral is "bacterial SSU rRNA". It matches the Rfam family "Bacterial small subunit ribosomal RNA", at positions 56 to 527 of the family's 1533-position model. The record is from RNAcentral.